This 253-nucleotide ribosomal RNA is filed under the name uncultured Acidobacteriota bacterium. RNAcentral's name for it is "uncultured Acidobacteria bacterium partial 16S ribosomal RNA". It matches the Rfam family "Bacterial small subunit ribosomal RNA", at positions 524 to 776 of the family's 1533-position model. The record is from RNAcentral. Lineage: Bacteria; Pseudomonadati; Acidobacteriota.
UACGUAGGCAGCAAACGUUGUUCGGAAUUACUGGGCGUAAAGAGUGUGUAGGCGGUUGGGUAAGUUUGGUGUGAAAUCUCCCGGCUUAACUGGGAGGGUGCGCCGAAAACUGCCUGACUUGAGUACUGGAGAGGAUAGCGGAAUUCCUGGUGUAGCGGUGAAAUGCGUAGAUAUCAGGAGGAACACCUGCGGUGUAGGCGGCUGUCUGGACAGUAACUGACGCUGAGACACGAAAGCGUGGGGAGCAAACAGG